Long non-coding RNA from Sebastes umbrosus (honeycomb rockfish), 243 nucleotides. RefSeq lists it as uncharacterized. The transcript is spliced from 3 exons. NCBI's taxonomy places the organism in Eukaryota, Metazoa, Chordata, Actinopteri, Perciformes, Sebastidae. The record is from RefSeq and is a predicted model, not a curated record.
GUGUUUGUAGUCCCUGGCUGCAAUGACCAACAAGUGAAAAUUUGUGUCAAAGUAAACUGUAACUUAAAGUGGUGUAGGAAUGAGUCCUAAAACCCGGAAAUGAGUUAGCACUUUAGAACCUCCGGUUCCCUCAUCUGGAUGACAGUAGGCUUUUUGAAUGGGUUUUUAGUUAGAUGCCUGAAAUAAGGUCUGUGGUUAACACAAGCGUAAGAGAUUUUAAGGUUUUAGGAUAUAAAAUAUCUC